Molecule: ribosomal RNA, 408 nt
Filed under: Deltaproteobacteria bacterium
Lineage: Bacteria; Pseudomonadati; Myxococcota; Myxococcia
Description: bacterial SSU rRNA
Rfam family: Bacterial small subunit ribosomal RNA
Source: RNAcentral
UAACUGGAGAGUUUGAUCCUGGCUCAGAAUGAACGCUGGCGGCGUGCUUAACACAUGCAAGUCGCACGAGAACUCUUUAGCUUGCUAAAGAUAGUAAAGUGGCGCACGGGUGAGUAACGCGUGGGUAAUCUGCCUUCAAGCCCGGAAUAACUCCGCGAAAGCGGUGCUAAUACCGGAUGACAUCCCGGGGACCCCGGUCCCCGGGACCAAAGGUGGCCUCUCCAUGGAAGCUACCGUUUGAAGAGGAGCCCGCGUACCAUUAGCUUGUUGGUAGGGUAACGGCCUACCAAGGCGACGAUGGUUAGCUGGUCUGAGAGGAUGAUCAGCCACACUGGAACUGACACACGGUCCAGACUCCUACGGGAGGCAGCAGUGAGGAAUUUUGCGCAAUGGGGGAAACCCUGACGC